RNAcentral lists this ribosomal RNA (406 nucleotides) under uncultured bacterium. RNAcentral's name for it is "partial 16S ribosomal RNA". It matches the Rfam family "Bacterial small subunit ribosomal RNA", at positions 30 to 526 of the family's 1533-position model. The record is from RNAcentral.
AUUGAACGCUGGCGGCAGGCCUAACACAUGCAAGUCGAACGAGUGGCGGACGGGUGAGUAAUGUAUGGGAAACUGCACGAUGGAGGGGGAUCACUACUGGAAACGGUAGCUAAUACCGCCUACCAUCGGAUGUGCCGAGAUGGGAUUAGCUAGUGGGUGGGGUAACGGCUAACCUAGGCGACGAUCCCUAGCUGGUCUGAGAGGAUGAACAGCCACACUGGAACUGAGACACGGUCCAGACUCCUACGGGAGGCAGCAGUGGGGAAUAUUGCACAAUGGGCGAAAGCCUGAUGCAGCCAUGCCGCGUGUAUGAAGAAGGCCUUCGGGUUGUAAAGUACUUUCAGCGAGGAGGCGUUACUCGCAGAAGAAGCACCGGCUAACUCCGUGCCAGCAGCCGCGGUAAUUC